GGUGGAGUGAUUUGUCUGGUUUAUUCCGAUAACGAACGAGACUCUAACCUGCUAACUAGUCUUGCGAUAAUUACGUCGUACGGACUUCUUAGAGGGAUCAGUGGUGUUCAGCCACACGAAAUUGAGCAAUAACAGGUCUGUGAUGCCCUUAGAUGUUCGGGGCUGCACGCGCGCUACACUGGAAGGAUCAACAUGCUCUUUUCCUGGGCCGAAAGGCCUGGGCAAACCUUUGAAAACCUUCCGUGAUCGGGAUAGGGAAUUGCAAUUAUUUCCCUUCAACGAGGAAUUCCCAGUAAGUGUGAGUCAUCAGCUCGCGUUGAAUACGUCCCUGCCCUUUGUAC
RNAcentral lists this ribosomal RNA (341 nucleotides) under Nematoda environmental sample. RNAcentral describes it as "SSU rRNA". It matches the Rfam family "Eukaryotic small subunit ribosomal RNA", at positions 1300 to 1665 of the family's 1831-position model. The record is from RNAcentral. Lineage: Eukaryota; Metazoa; Nematoda.